This is a long non-coding RNA of Aegilops tauschii subsp. strangulata, 918 nucleotides long. RefSeq lists it as uncharacterized. NCBI's taxonomy places the organism in Eukaryota, Viridiplantae, Streptophyta, Magnoliopsida, Poales, Poaceae. The record is from RefSeq and is a predicted model, not a curated record.
CCUAAAAAAAAUGACAUAAAAUUGGGAAAGCUUCUGUCUGGUCUCGCCGCCGGCCGGAUGCCUCGUCUUCCGGCCGGCGGGGCUGGCCCACCGCGCACGGUUCCAGUGCGCUCCAGGCACCGAGAUCGGCCAGUUCUGCGCCCUCCUGUCCCGCGUCGAUUCGUGGCAUCAGGAGCAUAAGCAGGGCCAGCCGAAGGAGGACCUUCCCCCGCCACCGGCGAAGCUCCGGGCAGCUACGAGGAAGCGCUGCGGCCAGAUCCGUACCGCAGAAGGACAUUGCCGAGGUAUACGACGGUGCUACCGCGCUGAGGCUGCGAAUGGUGCUGUGUCUACAUCCUUUGACAAUGCUGAUGUGGAGAGCGGGACGGGUGUAUUAGUGGCGGAGCAGGUGGAUGAGUAUGUAGAUACUGAGGAUGAGAUGCCAAUCAGUGGAGACAGAGAAGGGCACUGAGGCCACGGGUGUCUCUGCUGGUUCGGGUCCAGGCAGUGGUUCUUCAUCAUCCAGUGGUAAAACUUCCUACAAUGUUUCCCAUUUGACUCUGUUUACAGGUUCAGGGUCAGGGAGCUGUGGGGACAGCACCUCAGAAGCUGGCAAUGCUCGUUCUCUAGUGUAGAGGAGGUCGUUCUAACAGUAGGAUUUGAGUAGGUGGAUGAUGUGAUUACUUAUUUCUGGGAUGUGCAUGUCGGCUUGGAUUUAGUUUAGCUAGUUCCUAGUGGAUGGAUGGUUUUGUGGGUAAUCUCAUAGCUCAGCUCGACUAUGUCUAUAUAAGUGAAAAGUGGAGGGUACUGAGGCAUGUGGUAGUUCAUUGGGCCUUCUGAUUUGAAUGUGGCUUUUGUAUUGAUGUGUUUUAAUAUAUGCUUAUGGGCGACGUACCUAUGGCAUCAGAGUAAGAAAAUGUUGAAAUCCUAGUUAUCAUC